UGGGGAAUAUUGCACAAUGGGCGCAAGCCUGAUGCAGCGACGCCGCGUGGGGGAUGACGGCCUUCGGGUUGUAAACUCCUUUCGCUAGGGACGAAGCUUUUUGUGACGGUACCUAGAUAAGAAGCACCGGCUAACUACGUGCCAGCAGCCGCGGUAAUACGUAGGGUGCGAGCGUUGUCCGGAAUUACUGGGCGUAAAGGGCUCGUAGGUGGUUUGUCGCGUCGUCUGUGAAAUUCCGGGGCUUAACUCCGGGCGUGCAGGCGAUACGGGCAUAACUUGAGUACUGUAGGGGUAACUGGAAUUCCUGGUGUAGCGGUGAAAUGCGCAGAUAUCAUGAGGAACACCGAUGGCGAAGGCAGGUUACUGGGCAGUUACUGACGCUGAGGAGCGAAAGCAUGGGUAGCGAACAGG
Molecule: ribosomal RNA, 411 nt
Filed under: Actinomycetes bacterium
Lineage: Bacteria; Bacillati; Actinomycetota; Actinomycetes
Description: Actinobacteria bacterium partial 16S ribosomal RNA
Rfam family: Bacterial small subunit ribosomal RNA
Source: RNAcentral